Molecule: unclassified non-coding RNA, 342 nt
Filed under: soil metagenome
Description: partial contains 5.8S ribosomal RNA, internal transcribed spacer 2, and large subunit ribosomal RNA
Rfam family: 5.8S ribosomal RNA (bases 1-120)
Source: RNAcentral
GAUGAAGAACGCAGCGAAAUGCGAUAAGUAGUGUGAAUUGCAGAAUUCAGUGAAUCAUCGAAUCUUUGAACGCACAUUGCGCCCUUUGGUAUUCCAAAGGGCAUGCCUGUUCGAGCGUCAUUUGUACCCUCAAGCUUUGCUUGGUGUUGGGCGUCUUGUCUCUAGCUUUGCUGGAGACUCGCCUUAAAGUAAUUGGCAGCCGGCCUACUGGUUUCGGAGCGCAGCACAAGUCGCACUCUCUAUCAGCAAAGGUCUAGCAUCCAUUAAGCCUUUUUUUCAACUUUUGACCUCGGAUCAGGUAGGGAUACCCGCUGAACUUAAGCAUAUCAAUAAGCGGAAGGA